This 1045-nucleotide long non-coding RNA is filed under the name Ailuropoda melanoleuca (giant panda). RNAcentral's name for it is "lncRNA (ENSAMEG00000025234.1)". The record is from RNAcentral. Lineage: Eukaryota; Metazoa; Chordata; Mammalia; Carnivora; Ursidae.
AUGCUGCUCAUGAGCAGCCCGAUGGUUUCGCAGCCCGGCUCCUUGCCUUCGAUCCAGGUGAUCUUAUCGCCUCGAAUGUCCUUGGACGAGUCGCUCUUCUGGCUGACCAGCUGGCCGUCCGUGAACUUGCCGGUGUCGUGCAGAGCGCGCACCUCGUCGCCGAUCUGCUGCCCGGUCUCCUUGCCCAGGAAGUCGUCCACCACGCAGAUGCCGUGCUUGUUCAUGCACGGCACGAUGUACUCCAGCGCCAGCUUCAGCGCCGGCAACGGCUUCGUCUGCCCGUUGGGCCGCAGGCCGCCGCCGUGGCUCAGCCCCUCGCCCGGCGUGCUGCUCGGCGGGCACAGUGUUCGCGUAAACUGUAAAGCAGCAACCACCACAAACUGACAAGAGACUUAUUAAGACUGAGGCAAAGCUGAGAGUAAGUACACAGGACAGAGGUAAGUGAGGAAAUGAAUUUACAAACGGCUCUGUUGACUCUUGAGGAAAGCCCAAGGAACAACUCACCUUCAAGGGACUAGUCCCAUUUCUCCUUUAAAAGUAUGUUAAAAAUUCACAAGAGAGUAUCUUUGCUGUUCAGGAAAUAAAAAUCAAACAUCUGAUCGUUAACCAAUGACCUCGUUUCCCCAUCUAUGACGAUCUUGUUUUAAUACGUUACAGAGAACAGAAAAAUCACAAGUAUAACAUAGGCAUCCCACCAAGAUAAACAGGAAGACGAUCUUUGAGUUCUGGGAAAGCAACUAAAAUUCUGAGCCAUUUUCUAACUAUAGUAUUGGGACAUACACAAGUAGGUGUCGUUGGGAAAUAGCACCUGCUCUUUUCUGUACUGGGGGUUCUGCCAGAAGUACACAUAAGCUGUGUGCUUCCCCACGUACGUGGAGCCAGCUUUGCUGUCUACUAAGGUUUCUUUAGAAAAUAAGAUAUUUCAAAGACUUUUUAUGUAUUCUAGAAAAUCUGUCACCCAACUUUAUCAGCUUAUGGUUUAAAACUUAUCGAUCUAGGGGCGCCUGGGUGGCACAGCGGUUAAGCGUCUGCCUUCAGCUCAGGG